CGGGCCUUGUACACACCGCCCGUCACACCACGAAAGUCGGCAAUACCCGAAGCCGGUGAGCUAACCCCUCGGGGAGGCAGCCGUCGAAGGUAGGGUUGAUGAGUUGGGGUG
RNAcentral lists this ribosomal RNA (111 nucleotides) under uncultured bacterium. RNAcentral's name for it is "partial 16S ribosomal RNA". It matches the Rfam family "Bacterial small subunit ribosomal RNA", at positions 1375 to 1482 of the family's 1533-position model. The record is from RNAcentral.